This 253-nucleotide ribosomal RNA is filed under the name uncultured bacterium. Its description in RNAcentral is "partial 16S ribosomal RNA". It matches the Rfam family "Bacterial small subunit ribosomal RNA", at positions 524 to 776 of the family's 1533-position model. The record is from RNAcentral.
UACGGAGGGUGCAAACGUUGCUCGGAAUCAUUGGGCGUAAAGCGCACGUAGGCGGUCGGCUAUGUCGGAUGUGAAAGCCUCGGGCUUAACCCGAGAAGGGCAUCCGAAACUGGCCGGCUUGAGUACGGAAGAGGGUCUCGGAAUUCCCGGUGUAGAGGUGAAAUUCGUAGAUAUCUGGAGGAACACCGGUGGCGAAGGCGGCAUCCUGGACCAACACUGACGCUGAGGAGCGAAAGCCAGGGGAGCAAACGGG